RNA transcript from Ictalurus punctatus (channel catfish), 1313 nucleotides. RefSeq lists it as uncharacterized. Lineage: Eukaryota; Metazoa; Chordata; Actinopteri; Siluriformes; Ictaluridae. The record is from RefSeq and is a predicted model, not a curated record. The transcript has 4 exons.
GUUUUAACACGACACUGGAACAGGGUGGGGCAACAAUUCGUUCAUCCUGUUCGCAGUUAUUCCCGGAUAUUUAACAAUUAGCUUGCCUUUAAAACUCAUUCCUGGACAUCAUUGGAUAAUAAUAACAAUAAUUUUUUUAAAAAAGGAUAUAACUUGAGAAGCGAACUGCACAAUGCCUAACGUUGCCAACAACCCACUGGAUGAUGGAGUUCUGAGUCAGGGCUUGCUGAACUGCAGGGCUCAGAACUGUAAUAAUGUGGGAGAUUGCGUGAUUCAGGACGGAUUGCAGGUUUGUAAAUGUUUGCUGGGCUACAGAGGACACUCAUGCCAAGAAACGGUCAAUGACGGAUUAGCCGCCCCACUCACUCUGGGAGUCUUGGGCUUCAUCAUUGGCUUCAUUGUCCUGGCAUUUGUUCUAGCAUUUGUCCAGCAAAGGAGGAGAGAACGUUUAUGGGAACAAACCAACGAGAAAAGGGAGGAAUUGAAAAAGAACGGUGAUUUUUCUCACACAAAAAUAGGUUUGUGAUUACUUCACUGCAACACAAGACAAAACCCCAAUAAAAGGAAAAAGGGGAUUUUUGUAUGUAUAAAGUAUUUCCACUUCGACAAGAACGAAUACUCAUCUGCAUUGUUUGCUUGGAAGCAUGCCUUAAAAGUUUGGGAACUUUUAUACUUCAUACAAAUUCCACAUUUCUACUUUUAAAGGAAUGGAGACGACGCGUGUCUUGUGCUUGGGUGCUCAAAGGCUCUGGUUGCUAAAUGCUAAUGACUGAUAUUUUCUGUGUCUAGCUGUUUAGGCCAAAGUUUUUCUCAAUGUAUUUUCUCAGCGCAAAAGCAUUUUAAAUGCCUUGUGUUGGAAACAUGAAAUGUCACCGAUACUGAUAAUCUCAUUUUACUCUCAAUCUGGUGGGACUGAGGCAAUAACUAUGCAGUAUUUUACGUGCUUAAACUAUCAAGUAUUUCAGUAAUGUGUUGUGCUUGUGUUUGUAUAGCUUCAGAUCUAACUGGUCACUUCAAACCAUGCGGCAUUUAGAUUGACUUCAAGAAUUAUGUGCUCUGUAUUGGGUUGUUUGGGGAAACUCUUGUAUAUUUGAGACAGAUUAACACAUUUCAGUGCCCUUGAGUCUUGAGAAAGAGCAGUAGAAUUAGAUGGUCCACUGUGUUCACAUGUGCUGAUUUAUCCUCUAAAUAUGGCCUGGAAAUCACUCAGGGGAUUUUAUGUUCCAUAAUUGUUUUAUGAAAGCUUUUUAAAAUCUGUUUGUAAUUUACUUAUAAAUUUUCACAUAAAAAUAAAAUCAUUUUGCUCUCUGUGC